AGUGAACGCUGGCGGUAGGCCUAACACAUGCAAGUCGAACGGCAGCACAGUAAGAGCUUGCUCUUACUGGUGGCCAGUGGCGGACGGGUGAGGAAUACAUCGGAAUCUACUUUUUCGUGGGGGAUAACGUAGGUAAACUUACGCUAUACCGCAUACGACCUACGGGUGAAAGCAGGGGAUCUUCGGACCUUGCGCGAGUGAAUCAGCCGAUGUCGUAUUAGCUAGUUGGCGGGGUAAAGGCCCACCAAGGCGACGAUCCGUAGCUGGUCUGGGAGGAGGAUCAGCCACACUGGAACGGGGACACGGUCCAGAGUCCUACGGGAGGCAGCAGAGGGGAAUAUUGGACAGUGGGCGCAAGCCUUAUCCAGCCAUACCGCGUCGGUGAAGAAGGCCUUCGGGUUGUAAUGACGGUUUGUUGGGAAAGAAAAGCAGCAGGCUAAUACGCAGCUGUACUGACGGUACCCAAAGAAUAAGCACCGGCUAACUUCGUG
RNAcentral lists this ribosomal RNA (491 nucleotides) under uncultured bacterium. RNAcentral describes it as "partial 16S ribosomal RNA". It matches the Rfam family "Bacterial small subunit ribosomal RNA", at positions 29 to 507 of the family's 1533-position model. The record is from RNAcentral.